CCUAAGCUAUCGUAAAAUCCAUAACGAUUGCGUGGUUCACGCAGUGUUCGGUAAUUAGCCGCGUUUCCGCAUCCUCUUUGAGAAACUCGAGAGGGAGCUCAACCCAUUGGUUCGACGAUUCAUCAAGUCUAGGGCACUGUUUUAUUCAACAGCAUCGUGAAAAUGGCCAACUCUCGGGUCAAAUGAAACGAAUUGUCUUUUUUUUUUUUUAAAGGUAAAUGAGAACAUGCAUUGUUCGUUUAAAAUUGCGUACCCUGCGCUGUCAUUGUAGAAAAAGAUCUUAUUUCAUAAUAAUAUAGCUUUAUAAUGAGCUCCCAAGAAAGAACAAAAGGUUCUUUAAUAAAAACAGAGUACACAUCUUAUUGACAUUACCUGUGAGCCUAAACGAAAACUUAUUUAGACAACGGCCUGGUCCUCGUUUUUGUUUCAUAUUUGGCUUGUCGACUCUAUUGAUUCAAAUGCGUUUUCAUUAAACAGCCUACGUUAAUAACAUACAUUUAUAAUUCUGAAUAAAAACAAGUCAAAGUUUAGGUAUGAUGCACGCCUGAAAUAAAAACAGAAGGAGCUGCCACUAUUUUCCACGGCUGGGAUUGCAGACACACAUAAAGUCAGCCUCCGAAAGAUCAAUAAAGUUCAUGCACACCCUUCUCUCUCUCUUUCACAGGAAAAGAAGGACGCCAUAGUAACUAUACCAUAGUAUGCUACUAACCCAACAGCAGUGAGUGUGUGUGUGUGUGUGUGUAACAGACAUCUUUUUCUUACUUGAUGUUUUGCGGAGCAUUCGACAAAAAAAAAAAAAGAAAGGGGAACGAAGUAGUACUUUUAUUCUAUACGUCGAGAGAUCUAAUUUCUGGACUUGAGCUAUAGGUUCCAGCACUUCCUACUGAGUCGGUCUGUUUCGUUCUAACAAAAAAAAAAGGAGAAGGAAAAUGCGCAAUAAGCGGAGAACAGGAGGCCAAUCUAUAUCCCUAAAGAAGGAACAAGAAGAAAGUAAUUCACACAAAAAGGUUACAGGGCCGGGAACUGACGUGACUCAAAAGAAAACGGCCGAUGAGUGGAUCGCGUAUAGAAAAAAAUAGAACCAUAUUGGACAAAGUGUGUGACGUUUUGAUUCCAUCAAAAGGAUUGUUACCUUUAAACUCCAGCAGCUCUUUCUUCCUGCUAGAUGUCGAUACGUUUCAGUAAUUCCAAGAGGAAACAAACAGUAGUCGCUCUAACGCUCUGAGUGCCGUGGCUUUUAAAAGACCAAACGGAAAUGGGGAAGGACUAGCUCAUUGUUAUUCAUGUAGAGGGUUAAAAGCGAUCGUUAUUGACAGCCAACACAUUGGCUAUUCCACAGCGUUCAAGUGUGUGCAUUAUGUAUAUCUAUUUGGUGAGUAGUAAAAAAAAAAAAAAAAAGGCCGAGAGUGAAGAAGGAUCGCAUUUCGCGAAAGCUCCCGUCCCGUACGACCCAAAUCAAUUUGAUAUCCGGCCCCGUAUUUAUUAGGUCAUAUUUCCCCUUUCUCUGUGUUAUGACAUUGUUGCCAGUGUUUCGUGAAUGAAUGAAUGGCGGGAAAUAUUGAAAAUCCUCUACGAGUGUGUCCUCGGAGAAAUUGUUGAAUCCACGUGUUUUGUUUGCCCUUUUUUUCUCUCUCUCUCUCUCUCUUUUUCUUUAACUCUAGUCCUAAUGCCCUGGGCUGCGUGUUGGCAAGGAGGGUUGGUUUAUACCUCACCCUUUUAGCGUGAAUCCUGCGUGGUAGGACGUGGCGCCACCGUCGAUAGUGAGCGCCGUGUCGUCGAGCCAGGACCAUCAGUAGGCGAGCAGCAUCCUUGGCGGCCGGUCCGUCUGCAGCCGAUCCCUUUUUUCUUCUUCUUCUUCUUCUUCUUUCUCCCUCCUUUUCCCCUUUAUUUUGUCCGUCCCUUUCACCCGUGUGUCCCUCAUUUUCCUUCUCUCGAUUCAGACGGCCAACUAACGAUCCAGAUUGACGAGCAAACGAGUUUUCCAAAGCAAACAUCAAUUCGAAAACAGCAACGUGAAUUGACGCCGAAAAGAAGAAAUUUUUAAAAAUAAAAAUUGGACCGUAGAAAUACGUCCAUUUAUUUUAUUUAUUUUUUUUUUGUUUGUUUUUAUUUUUUUUUGUAAUUUAAUUUCACUCUCACCUGCCCGUUGCCUGGUGAUCUGACAUGGCUCACCGGCAAGGAAGUAAAAAUUAUUGCAGUCGUGGGCUGACGUGUACAACGGCAGUGUUGCUGUGCUGUUGGUAUCUUGUUCUCCAGACGGCCAACUGCGGUAAUCCGGACGCCAAACGUCUCUACGACGACCUCCUAUCCAAUUACAACAAGAUCGUCCGUCCUGUCGUCAACAACAGCGACGUACUAACCGUCCGCAUCAAACUCAAAUUGUCGCAACUCAUC
Molecule: long non-coding RNA, 2394 nt
Organism: Daphnia carinata
Lineage: Eukaryota; Metazoa; Arthropoda; Branchiopoda; Diplostraca; Daphniidae
Exons: 3
Source: RefSeq, a predicted model, not a curated record